This 497-nucleotide ribosomal RNA is filed under the name uncultured bacterium. Its description in RNAcentral is "partial 16S ribosomal RNA". It matches the Rfam family "Bacterial small subunit ribosomal RNA", at positions 28 to 507 of the family's 1533-position model. The record is from RNAcentral.
GAUGAACGCUGGCGGCGUGCCUAAUACAUGCAAGUCGAGCGAACAGACGAGGCGCUUGCUCCUCUGACGUUAGCGGCGGACGGGUGAGUAACACGUGGAUAACCUACCUAUAAGACUGGGAUAACUUCGGGAAACCGGCGCUAAUACCGGAUAAUAUCUUGAACCGCAUGGUUCAAUAGUGAAAGACGGUUUUGCUGUCACUUAUAGAUGGAUCCGCGCCGCAUUAGCUAGUUGGUAAGGUAACGGCUUACCAAGGCGACGAUGCGUAGCCGACCUGAGAGGGUGGUCGGCGACACUGGAAGUGGGACACGGUCCAGACUCCUACGGGAGGCAGCAGUAGGGAAUCUGCCGCAAUGGGCGAAAGCCUGACGGAGCAACGCCGCGUGAGUGAUGAAGGUCUUCGGAGCGUAAAACUCUGUUAUUAGGUAAGAACAAAUGUGUAAGGAACUGUGCACGGCUUGACGGUACCUAAUCAGAAAGCCACGGCUAACUACGUG